Molecule: RNA transcript, 1277 nt
Organism: Panicum virgatum (switchgrass)
Lineage: Eukaryota; Viridiplantae; Streptophyta; Magnoliopsida; Poales; Poaceae
Gene name: universal stress protein PHOS34-like
Exons: 4
Source: RefSeq, a predicted model, not a curated record
CUCCUCGUCCAGGUCCAGCUCGUGACGAGUUUACCCCCCUGUUCAGACUUCCGCUUGACGCCUUCCAAGUCUUCCCUUCCUUCCCUUCCAGUACCUUCUCCCCUCCCUCCCCGCUAAGCAACCCCCAAAGGCCAAAGCUCGCUCUCGCGAUCGGAGAUCCCGCGAUGCAGGCCCCAGCGACCCCCUCCUCCGUCGACCUGCCGCUGGCGGCGGCGCCGCCGCCGGUGAAGGCGCCGACCCCGCGCCCGCCCCCGCCGGCCUCGCUCCAGCCCGAGUCCCCGGGGGUCUUCUUCUCCGCCGCGGCGGCCGCGCUGCCCUUGGGCUCCGCCCACCGCCGCAUCGCCAUCGCCGUCGACCUCUCCGACGAGUCCGCCUACGCCAUACGCUGGGCCGUCGCCAACUACCUCCGCCCCGGGGACGCCGUCGUCCUGCUCCACGUGCGCCCCACCUCCGUGCUCUACGGCGCCGACUGGGGCGCCGUCGACGUCUCCCUCCCCAACCCUAGCGACGGCGGCGCGGAGGACGACGACGACGAGGCCGCCGCGCGCAGGAUGGAGGACGACUACGACGCCUUCACGGCCUCCAAGGCCGACGACCUCGCCAGGCCGCUCAAGGACGCGGGCAUCCCCUACAAGAUCCACAUCGUCAAGGACCACGACAUGAGGGAGCGCCUCUGCCUCGAGGUCGAGAGGCUCGGCCUCAGCGCGGUCAUCAUGGGGAGCAAGGGCUUCGGCGCUUCGCGGAGGACCAGCAAGGGGAGGCUCGGUAGCGUCAGCGACUACUGUGUCCACCACUGUGUCUGCCCCGUCGUGGUGGUGCGCUUCCCUGACGAAGGCUCCGCGGAGGAUGGGGAGGCUGGUGGCCUGUCGUCAGCGGUGGGUGCGGAGGAUGUGCUGCAUCCUGUGCCCGAGGAGGAUGCCGAGUACCAUGAUGCUACUGAGGAGCACAAGGGUAACUGAUUUAAUACUUGACCGUGUCGAUGAAUUGUGAAGUGAAGUGCACUUGGAUCCAGCAGGUAAAGGUUCUACUGUUGGCUGGGUGCUAGCUGGGAAGUGCAUGUGGUGUUGAACUUUCAUUGCCCAUGUCUAUGUCUAUCUGUGCUCUGGCGUUGUUUGUAUCUUCAGUUGCCUUCUUUCACGUAACUUGUUUGACUAUUUGACUGCCUGGUGAUUUUUUGUGGUUGAAAACCUUUGUACUUUCUUCACAUUUCACUUCCUGUUUCUGAUGAAAGUCAGAGCUUAACCAUUUCUAUAGAAUCAACUAGUCAUCACUGCACC